This 433-nucleotide ribosomal RNA is filed under the name uncultured bacterium. RNAcentral's name for it is "partial 16S ribosomal RNA". It matches the Rfam family "Bacterial small subunit ribosomal RNA", at positions 29 to 507 of the family's 1533-position model. The record is from RNAcentral.
AACGAACGCUGGCGGCAUGCCUAACACAUGCAAGUCGAACGAGCCCUUCGGGGUUAGUGGCGCACGGGUGCGUAACGCGUGGGAAUCUGCCCUUGGGUUCGGAAUAACAGUGAGAAAUUACUGCUAAUACCGGAUGAUGUCUUCGGACCAAAGAUUUAUCGCCCAAGGAUGAGCCCGCGUAGGAUUAGCUAGUUGGUGGGGUAAUGGCCUACCAAGGCGACGAUCCUUAGCUGGUCUGAGAGGAUGAUCAGCCACACUGGGACUGAGACACGGCCCAGACUCCUACGGGAGGCAGCAGUGGGGAAUAUUGGACAAUGGGCGAAAGCCUGAUCCAGCAAUGCCGCGUGAGUGAUGAAGGCCUUAGGGUUGUAAAGCUCUUUUACCCGGGAUGAUAAUGACAGUAACGGGAGAAUAAGCACCGGCUAACUACGUG